UGGUAAGGCCUUGUCUCAAAAUAAAACAUAGAAAGGGCUGUGGCUCAGUGGUUAAGUGCCCCUGGGUUCAAUCCUUGGUACAAAAACAAACAAACAAACAAACAAAAAACACAAACCACAAUAGGUAAGAUGCUCACAGACUUACUAUCAAAUUGCUUAGUGACCACUAUGUACCAGAGAAGGUACAGGACUCAUGAAAAUGCCUCCUAAUGAUCUUUAUUUAAAAAUCUAAAAUAAAUGCAUCACAGCUCUAAAGUAAAAUAAAAGAAAAUAGAACAAUUUUCCAAAGAUUUUUUUCUCUAAAUUCCCUUUACUUUUCACCUGUACUUAUCUUUGGUGUGAUUUGACUCAAUGUUCUUCAUUUAGUCUUUUCACAUUGGUUUUGAUAGCAACACCCUCCACUUUCUCCUUCCCCUCAAAACCAAAAGUACACUCUUUUUCUCUUUUUUCCUUUAUUUUACACACUUAUAUUUUCUUUCAAUAAAUAGAUAUACCUUCUAAAAAUCAGAAGGCUAUAGUUCUAUUUUGAGAUGUAAACAAAGAUAUUAUGGGAAGAACAAAGAGACAAAAAAAUUAGAAAAUUUUUGUGAUGGAGUCAAUAUUAAAAAUGAAAAGCCACUAUAAUAUGCAUUCAGACUACAAGUGCCCUGAUCAAUUUACAUGACUAUAGAAAAAAUUCCAAAAUCACAGAAGAUAAAAUUUAGAAAUGAGUUUUUAUAUGUAAUUAUGUUUAUAUGUCUCAAAUACAAUAGAGUGAAAAUGAGAGUUCUUAUUUUAAAAAAGCAAGAUUCUUUUUAAAAAUUUAUUCUUGAUUGGAGCAUUAUAAUUAUACAUCAUGGUGGGUUUCAUCAUGUCAUAUUCACAAAUGCAUAUAGCAAUUUGCUCAAUCUCCUUCUCCAAUAUCUCUCCUCCUUCUGAGUCAUUUGCUUUAAUCCACUGAUUUUUCUUCUAUUACCAUUAUUUUUAUUUGUGCAUUAUCAUUAUUGGAAUAUUCUACAUGCAAUAGAAGAAUUUGGUUCUAUGUCUUCAUCCCCAGUAUUUCCUUUCAAUCCUUUUCCAGAGUCAUUAUUUUAAUAAGUGAGAGUAACUUCAUAACACUCCAUUACAAAAUAAAAAUGAGUCUUCUUUUUCUGCAGUAAGCUUGCUUGAGAAUUGGUACACACCAGCUUCUCACAUGUCAACCUGUUCUUGGCAUGUAAACUGCUUGCAUAUUAAGUGAUAUAUGGUCACACAUAGAAGGAGGAUAAAUAAAAGGAGUCACAUUCCACUCUUUUUUUUCAGUGCUAAAUAUUAAAAUUAUGGAAAUUGAAGUAGUAACCACAGGGGUUGUAUAGAUGCAAAAAAAAAAAAAAUAGGGUCCAGUUAAAACUUAUAGUUCUUUCCCAGGUUUCUCCUAUUUCCAUAUAAAACAAAAUAAACUUCAAUUAUAACACAAUGAGUAACUUUUUCCUUGAAGUUACUUGGGCACAGAACAAGUAUAACAAUGGGUUGUAACAAUAAUUGACUGUUACAAAAAAUACAGAAAAAUAUGGAAAAUGCUGGCAUUGCAAAGAGACAAGUAGCACUUAGAGAGGUAGAAGAGCAAGGUUUAUUCAGCAGAGGUGAAGGCCCAAUGGAGUCUUCACCAAAUGCUGAGCAUAACCCUUCAUUCCCAGUAUCUUUUCCACUGUACAGACUUCCAGAUUUCAAGACAUUCUCAUGCAAGUAGACUUUAUCCUUUCCUCAUUCUGCAGGCAGCUCGGGUUCCUGUCACAGGAGCUGAGCAAGCGUAUUUACAGAAGAAGAAAUUAGCAGGUUGUCUCUUUGUCUUCUGCUUUUUGUUUUUUGGUUGUGUUUGCCCAGGAUUUCAGCCCACUCUGGCUCACCCCCAAUCCCAAACCCCCGGCACCCAGUCACACUGUUUUUCUCUUGGAAGGGGAGAGCAUCCUCCUUUAACUGGGAUUCUUUCAAAACAAAGAUGAUUCUGAUUAAUUCACCUAAUGUAAUUAAAUCAGCAGUAACUUGGAACCAAAAUUCAUGCUCAAAUAAUUGAUAUUUUCCUUUGAAAACUGGAGACUUGAGGAAAGCUGCUCAGGGUUUGGGUGUUCACCAGAUAAGGCUUCUCAAAUCACCUGAUAUCUAACAAUUCUGACUUCUUCUCCCUGCCCUAUCUUCCCCUUUUUAGAGGACCAGCACUAAAAACUAAUAGGUAGAAAUGAUGAUAUGUGUGUAUGUACAUGCACUUUUAAGAUAUUUUCAACUCUCCCCAUACAUUCUUGAAAAAUGAUGAAAUAAUUUAAAAAAUAACUCUUGAGUUUAGCUUUGUGUCACUGGCUAUUGCUAUGUCAGAUGUUUUGGCAGGAAGAAUUGGUAUCAGACGAUCAAUCUUAAUACUUAGAAUUAGGCUUUGAAGUUGAUAAUCAAUAUUUAAUAUAUUUGGAUUUUUUUUCCCUGUGAUUACUAUGGUUAGAGAAAACAAAAUGGUGUUUCGUUCCUCUAACUUCAUGCUAAUUUUGAGUAUAGUCAGCAUGGGAUGAAAUAAAAAAAAAAAAGACUUCUCCAGAAAAAAAGAAAGAAAGAAAGAAAGAAAUUAAUCAAUUAGCAAGUUAUAGCUAUUAGCAGAGAUAUAAAGAAACAUCUUAGGAAAGAGUUGCCACUUUAUUACCAGAAACCUGUGUAUCUUAAAAAGAGAUGGUAAACCUCUUUAAAAACAAGGCAGAAAAUUUUGAACAUAUGAUUUAAAAAAUUUAUAGAGAAAAUUUUGCUUUUCUGAAAACUGCUGUUUUUAUGAUCUAUAAAUGAUUGACAUUUCAUGGCAUAUAUCAUAACAUGUCCAUAUUUAACCCAUCUUCAUUUACAUUAAAUAUUUGUACCAAAUAUAUUAUCUAAGUGUGUUACUAUUCAGAUAUUUUUGAACUGUGAGAACAAGGAGAAAACAGUUGUCUUCAAGGAAUUUCCAUUAUAAAAAGGGGCGCCAAUCCCAUGAAUUCAUACAGCAAAGACAACCCCAAUUUCAGUGUGAUAAAGGAGAAGGCUGUUAGCACAGACUCCUUGUUUCUUCUGGUGUAGAAAGAGAGACACAGAAAUACACACAUGUCAGGGGAAAGACCACUAUAGGUAAUUGAAGGUGGUGAGUCCCUUUGGUUAUAGCACAAGAUUUUAUACAUUUCUGAUAGAAAUUCCUCAAGUCGUUUGAUUUUCCCUAUUCACUUAUAAAAAUAGAGAACUAUAAGCCUUUGACAGUUGGUAGACAUAUAUCAAAUUUUCCCAGGAAAGAAUAUAUUGAAAGUGAUGUAAAAAAUAAAUAGAUUAAUAAACUAAUUAAUUUUAAAAAUGAAAGUGAUUUAAUAUGAAUUUUGGUCAUAUACAUCUCUUCUUAUGAACUCAAAAUUAUGGAAUUUUAUAAUUAUGAACAACGAAGAAUUAAGCCAUCUAUUUUGAUGGGUACAAGCAGCUAAUAAUAUUUAGUUUGUGAAAAAAAGAGUAAAAUAUGGCUGAUCUUCUGAGAACAGAAUUUGGUUAAUUAACUUAGUUAACUAAUUCUGUAGUUACUAAUUUGCCCCUGAUUUUGAAUUGUUUUACUAACAUUAUUUGCCCCAUUAUUCCUAUGUUUUAAUACCCAUAAGAAAAGAUGUAUAUGUUGUUGGAAACUAAAAUUAAGAUAAUUUUUAAGAAAAAUGUAAUGAGAGCUAAAGAAUGUGGUAUGGACAUCAGUAUGGACAAGGCCCUGGAUUUGAUCCUUAGUACCAGAAAAUCAAUCAGUCCAUCAAAUAAAAAGAAUGCAGUGAAAAAUAGGGGUCUUUGGGUAUGUAUAUUUUAAAUAGGAUGGUGUUAAUGGGUAUGGGGUUUCUUUUGGGGGUGAUAAAAAUGUUCUAAAAUUAGGUAACUAACUUUGUGAAUAUACUAAAAACUCUUGAAUCAUAUACUUAAACAUGGUGAUUUUGGUGUUAUGUCAAUUAUACCAGGAUAAAACUGUUUCAAAAACACACUUAAAAAUUGAUUCAUAAUUUUUUGAAAAUUGUACUGAAAUGAGGGAAGGGUUUAAUAAAAUGGAAACAAACCCAUACAACCACCGUGGAAUCUCCAUGGGCUGAGUAUAAACUUGGGAAUCCUUUGGGCCUAAGAUGAAUCAGGGAUUUAAAGUUUCUACCACUUAAAGCUCAAGCUUGGCACAGUGUAUAAAACUUUGACCACAGAUCAGGUGGCUUGAUUUCAGAGGUCAAUGAACUGUUUGAAUCUAUACUAGAUCAGUCUGAGAAGUAAGGCAGUGAAUUCAGGGAGAGCAGUUGCCACUUGCACUUUGGAGAUUCCUCAGUAGUUCUGGAAAUCAAAGAUGAGGAGGACAAAGUCACUAGCCUCCAUAGCCUUUCAGCAAAGACAGACCUGUGGUCUUGGAGAAAAAAUGGCUUGACUAACUGGUGUUUUUGAAUAUUCUGCUACAAAGUGAGAGGGUGUCAUCUGUUUCAAGAAUUAUUGUAAUUAUUUUGCGGAGUGUACUGGGAUUGAACUCAUGGGCACUCAACCACUGAGCCACAUCUCCAGCCCAUUUUUGUUUUUAUUUUUUAAUUUGGAGACAGGGCUUAACACAUUACUGUAGCUGAAACUAGCUUUGAACUUGUGAUCCUCCUGCCUCAGCCUCCCAUGACACUGUGAUUAUAGGCAUUCGCCAUCGGGCUGGGCUCAAGAAUUAUUUGACAGAAAUUUAGGUAAAUAGAUAUUAUCAAUAGUCUAUCACCAGUUCUACUCUUCCAGUAUUCCUGUUCUCAUUUCUCCCUCCUUUUAUUCCCUCCAUCUUUCUCUUUCUUUCUCUGCUUAUGCAUUUCUUCAGAAUGCAGCUCAUGAAUAACUAAGCACACACAGACAGUGGAUUGGGACAUGGAAAAGUGAAGGGAGAGACAAAGUAUCUACUAGCAUCAUGGCUAGAAGAUGUUUCUCCUCCUGCUUCUCUGCCAUGUUGUGACAACAGCCAAGGGAGCCCUCUCCAGAGACCGAACAGAUAAGGUGCCCAUGCUUGGACUUUCAGCCUCCAAAAUCUGAGCUAAGUAAAUGUCUUUUCCAUAAAAGUAGUUAGCUUCAAGUGUUUUGUUAUAGUAAUAGAGAAGAGACUAACGCUUCAAAUAUUUUGUUAUAAUAUCAGAAAAGAAACCAAUGUUUUGCCCAGUUGAAAACCUACAUUAUUCAAUUUUCUUCACAGGUGGGAGUGUGACUGUUCUAGCUACAGAAAUGUGGGAAGAGUUAAUGUAUUUUACCACAUAACCGUUGUCUCCUGUCUCCACAUUAACAUAUAUUAGUAAAUAUUCCAUGCAUACUAAUCCCGCAUCAAAGACAGUUUAGUAAUACAUGACUUUUAAGCAAUUCUGGUACAAUUUAAAAAGAAAGAAAGGAAGGAAAACUAGCAAGCUUCACAUAAUGAUCACACAGCAUUUUUUUUGCAAAAAAAAAAAAAAAAAAAAACAAAACCAAAAUGGAAAUCUGCUAUGAUUGCG
Ictidomys tridecemlineatus (thirteen-lined ground squirrel) is the source of this 5465-nucleotide non-coding RNA. Lineage: Eukaryota; Metazoa; Chordata; Mammalia; Rodentia; Sciuridae. The record is from RefSeq and is a predicted model, not a curated record.